GCCGAUGUAGCUCAGUUGGUAGAGCAACGCAUUCGUAAUGCGUGGGUCAGCGGUUCAAAUCCGCUCAUCGGCU
This 73-nucleotide transfer RNA is filed under the name Allochromatium warmingii. It matches the Rfam family "tRNA". Rfam says of the family: Transfer RNA (tRNA) molecules are approximately 80 nucleotides in length. Their secondary structure includes four short double-helical elements and three loops (D, anti-codon, and T loops). The record is from Rfam by way of RNAcentral. Lineage: Bacteria; Pseudomonadati; Pseudomonadota; Gammaproteobacteria; Chromatiales; Chromatiaceae. RNAcentral also lists the same sequence under 2 other names.